GCGGGCUGCACCGCCAGCGCCGAGCUGGCCGCCGACGGGCGCGCGGGGGAGGGAACGCGAGUGUCCGGCGCGGGGGCGCGCGGCGUGCGCGCGUGCACUCGCCGACUAGUGCACGACGGGCCUUUUAAGGAGUCUAAGAACUGAACGUCUACAAGAAUCACAUCAAGGAUGAUCACAACUGUCCUUCAUAAGUGUCACUGCACAGUCACACGCUUUAAGGACACAGCAAGCGCACGAGAGCCUGGUGAGCAGUUUGUCCUGGCCAUCUGGGGGCAAGCAGACCAGGGCAUCUCGCUCAGAAGGAAUGGAGGUGUCCACUUGGGGCAGAAGAGCCACUUGCUGCCCCACAGAUACUUCAAGUUGGGGCAGGCUCCCAGCCCCACAACGCUGUUCGAGACAGCUCUGCUGUCACUCACUUCCUGCCCGGGGACCACACGGCCUCCUCUCAUCGUGGGACGCACUUCCUGUUGACUGCCAGUUCCAUAGCAUAGAGAGCCAGGAGUACCUGCUCUGAGACCCAACACAGCCCCAGGGUCCCGACCCACACUGAUCAGCACCCCUCCAGGCCUGCCCUGGAGGACCCCAGUCUGCAGCCGCCUGAGACACGCCAUCCUUCCAGAGGUGGGCGGAUGAGCGGGGCAGGGAGCACUCUGCACAGCUCCAGCCCUGGGGUUAGCUCAGCUCAGCUCAGCGGGCUGAAAUCUCCCUGAUCCCGCCAAUCCUCACCCUCCUCUCUUCCCGACCAGGCUGUCCUUUCUUGCCUGCCUGCUCUGGUUCUAGAUGAGCCUGAGUCAACCAGAGCUCUGGGAUUAGGGGAGUUGCUGACCCCUGCUAUGGUCGAUCCUGGAUCCAUCUUGCCCAUCAAGAGCCCCCCCCACUGAGUUAGUAGUGGGCACUCGCUGGCCCUCUCUCUGGGGCCCCGGGUACCUGGGGAGAUCAAAUCUCCACCUACCAGAAACCGCUGAGGUGGGCUGGCCCAGUGGCUUAGCGGUUAAGUGCACGCGCUCCACUGCUGGCGGCCCGGGUUCGGAUCCCGGGCGCGCACCGACGCACCGCUUCUCCGGCCAUGCUGAGGCCACGUCCCACAUACAGCAACUAGAAGGAUCUGUAACUAUGACGUACAACUAUCUACUGGGGCUUUGGGGGAAAAAAUAAAUAAAUAAAUAAAAUUAUAAAAAAAAAGAAACCGCUGAGGGAGGGCCACAGGCAAAGAGCCUGAAGCGACACUCCAGGUCCCUGGGGAGGAGCUGGGUGCUCCCUGAAAGGGGCCCCCAGGUGAGAAGAACAGCAUAACCCAUCCCUGGAAGCCACUAGGAGAGGCUACUCCAGCCAGGCCUGCACCCUUCUGCCCCCACCUCCACGCCUUCAGCUCAGCGCCCUCCUCUCCUCUCUCCUGCCACCAUUAGCUUGUCGCCUCCUGGAGGCAGGGACUUUGCUUUACUGCGUUGGA
Diceros bicornis minor is the source of this 1450-nucleotide long non-coding RNA. RefSeq lists it as uncharacterized. The record is from RefSeq and is a predicted model, not a curated record. NCBI's taxonomy places the organism in Eukaryota, Metazoa, Chordata, Mammalia, Perissodactyla, Rhinocerotidae. The transcript is spliced from 4 exons.